UUAAUACCGUCUCUAGUGAAUGUCGCUUC
RNAcentral lists this non-coding RNA (29 nucleotides) under Bombyx mori (domestic silkworm). The record is from RNAcentral. Lineage: Eukaryota; Metazoa; Arthropoda; Insecta; Lepidoptera; Bombycidae.